CCUGGCGGCAAUAGCGCAGUGGAACCACCUGACCCCAUGCCGAACUCAGAAGUGAAACGCUGUAGCGCCGAUGGUAGUGUGGCAUUCGCCA
This 91-nucleotide ribosomal RNA is filed under the name Aeromonas caviae. Lineage: Bacteria; Pseudomonadati; Pseudomonadota; Gammaproteobacteria; Aeromonadales; Aeromonadaceae. The record is from RNAcentral.